CCCUUAGAUGUUCUGGGCUGCACGCGCGUUACACUGAAGCGUUCAACGAGUAUUCACCUUGCCCGGGAGGGUUGGGUAAUCUUUUGAAAACGCUUCGUGAUGGGGAUAGAUUAUUGCAAUUAUUAAUCUUCAACGAGGAAUUCCUAGUAAGCGCGAGUCAUCAGCUCGUGCUGAUUACGUCCCUGCCCUUUGUACACACCGCCCGUCGCUCCUACCGAUUGAAUGGUCCGGUGAAGCCUCCGGAUUGGCGCGCACCUCGGUGCCGCCGAGAAGUUGGCUAAACCUUACCAUUUAGAGGAAGGUGAAGUCGUAACA
This 315-nucleotide ribosomal RNA is filed under the name uncultured eukaryote. RNAcentral's name for it is "partial 18S ribosomal RNA". It matches the Rfam family "Eukaryotic small subunit ribosomal RNA", at positions 1470 to 1796 of the family's 1831-position model. The record is from RNAcentral.